GUGAAGCGCUUGAGUCAACUAUUUACGACGUGAAGUGAUCUAUUCCGAUGUGCCAUUUGCAUGCGCCGCUGCAUUCGUCCCAAGGGCCGUUUUACAGCGGAGUGACGCGCAUAUCGAUGUAAACAUCACGUGGUUUAUCUCGAUGGCAGUUGUCGGUUUAGCGGAGUAGUUGCGACAACAGCGUGAUAAAAACUAGAUAGAAGUCAUUUCAAACAAGCUCUCCCACUCUCACCUAAAUACGACAAAUCCGUUCAAAAAAAGUCAUCCUACCUCGUUAACAUAUCAACAAAAUUCUUAUUGCAAAAACAGAAUUCUAUUUCAUGGAUGUUAAUUGGUAUUUUUAUUUUUUGUAUGUGUGCUUUGAACUCUGGGCUCCAGAAAUUGACCCGAGUGUGCUGACCUGACCUCAGAAGCUGACUGGCUGAUUGGAGCAACUCCGAUUCAAGCCCAGACAUCACUCACUCGGCUUCGCCCCAUUCCGGGAACUUUCCAGUAUGUACAGUAAUUACACUUUAUUAAACUUGUAUGUUAUUAAA
Hippocampus zosterae (dwarf seahorse) is the source of this 536-nucleotide long non-coding RNA. RefSeq lists it as uncharacterized. The transcript has 2 exons. NCBI's taxonomy places the organism in Eukaryota, Metazoa, Chordata, Actinopteri, Syngnathiformes, Syngnathidae. The record is from RefSeq and is a predicted model, not a curated record.